UUUAAAAAAGUAAUCAAAUUACUGUAACGCUACUCCCAAAACUGUGCGUCACUGAGUAAAUGAACCAUGCAGUUAAUGUAAAGAUAUCUAUGCAAACACCACCACCACAGAAUAGUUCUGUCUUUGUUAGGCUCAGACACUUCAACAUCAGACAUCAGAACUGCACUGGAGAUUCACUAGACUGGAUUCAUCACAAGAGAUGAUGAAAAAUAGAUUAACAGAAACUAAUUCAUGGGAGAAGAUCUGUGCAGCAUCACAAACUGAAGGAGAAUUAAACAGAGAGGAAAAGAAAAAUGUCAAACAAAGAGGACGAGGUAAAAUGUACUGAACCAGAAGAGAAAAACCUCUUGAGACGAGUCAGACGGAACAGUAUUAAUAGUGGAAGACCAAGCUUUUCUGAUGAUGCAGACAGGUUUAUUCAGAGUGACUCUCAGAUGAGACAGGAGCAGCUUCUUUCGUCUGACCAGCAGAAUAUUCUUUAUAUUCAGUCUCUAACAAAACACUGCUUUAUUUUAGAUCGUUUGUUCUAUUUUUGUGUUACUAUCUUUUCAAAGUAUUAUAGACUAUAUAAUUAGCCAAUAUCAACUUCAUUCACUGUAUAAUGUAUAAUUAUUUCAUUUAUUUUUUUUCAAAACUAAU
This is a long non-coding RNA of Carassius auratus (goldfish), 639 nucleotides long. RefSeq lists it as uncharacterized. The transcript is spliced from 4 exons. The record is from RefSeq and is a predicted model, not a curated record. NCBI's taxonomy places the organism in Eukaryota, Metazoa, Chordata, Actinopteri, Cypriniformes, Cyprinidae.